Molecule: transfer RNA, 71 nt
Filed under: Marmota monax (woodchuck)
Lineage: Eukaryota; Metazoa; Chordata; Mammalia; Rodentia; Sciuridae
Description: tRNA.Undet
Source: RNAcentral
GGGGUUGUGGCUCAGCGGUAGAGCGCUUGCCUCGCUCAUGCGAGAACCUGGGUUCGAUCCUCAGCACUACA